RNAcentral lists this ribosomal RNA (253 nucleotides) under uncultured bacterium. RNAcentral's name for it is "partial 16S ribosomal RNA". It matches the Rfam family "Bacterial small subunit ribosomal RNA", at positions 524 to 776 of the family's 1533-position model. The record is from RNAcentral.
UACAGAGGUCUCAAGCGUUGUUCGGAUUCAUUGGGCGUAAAGGGCGCGUAGGCGGCGGGGUAAGUCUGGUGUGAAAUCUCGGAGCUCAACUCCGAAAUUGCACUGGAUACUGCUCUGCUUGAGGGUUGGAGAGGAGAUCGGAAUUCACGGUGUAGCAGUGAAAUGCGUAGAUAUUGGGAAGAACACCGGUGGCGAAGGCGGCGCUCUGGACCGAGACUGACGCUGAGGCGCGAAAGCGUGGGGAGCAAACAGG